UGUGAAAAGUUGAACAUAUACCUGAAAACCAAAAGACGGUUAAUAUAAUGAAUAUAUUUAAAGUGCUGUACAAAUACAAAAAUACUUCUAUAUGCGCGUCUAUUAAUGUAUAUUCAAGCCCGAGAAAUAGGUUGGGUGGUAAAGAUGACUUGAAGACUCCAUGUUGCGAUUAUUCAAUAAAAUAACAGGGGUGAUGCAAUAUUAAUUUAAUUUAAUUCACAGAUCUUUUAACUUACUGCAAUUUGGCAGUUAAUCAUCCACUCCAAUUUAUAGUAUACAAAUAGUACCUUUUAUCGAUA
Molecule: unclassified non-coding RNA, 299 nt
Filed under: Hevea brasiliensis (rubber tree)
Lineage: Eukaryota; Viridiplantae; Streptophyta; Magnoliopsida; Malpighiales; Euphorbiaceae
Source: RNAcentral